AAACAUGUCUUUUUGAGUUAUAUUUAAAGUCUGACCUGCCCACUGAGUAUUUUAAAUGGCCGCAGUAUUUUGACUGUGCAAAGGUAGCAUAAUCAUUAGUCUUUUAAUUGAAGGCUGGUAUGAAUGGUUGGACGAAGUAUAAGCUGUUUCAUAUAAAUUUAUAAUAGAAUUUUAUAUUUUAGUUAAAAAGCUAAAAUUUUAUUAAAAGACGAGAAGACCCUAUAAAUCUUUAUAAUUAAUGUUAACUAAAUUUUUUUGAUUUAUUUUAUUUUUUUAAUAUUAAUUAUUUUGUUGGGGUGAUAUUAAAAUUUAAUAAACUUUUAAUUUUUUUAAAAUCAUUAAUUUAUGAAUUAUUGAUCCAUUAAUAGUGAUUAUAAGAUUAAGUUACUUUAGGGAUAACAGCGUAAUUUUUUUUGAGAGUUCAUAUCGACAAAAAAGUUUGCGACCUCGAUGUUGGAUUAAGGUGUAAUUUUGGGUGUAGCUGUUCAAAAAUUAAGUCUGUUCGACUUUUAAAUCCUUACAUGAUC
This 527-nucleotide ribosomal RNA is filed under the name Anastrepha anomoiae. Its description in RNAcentral is "partial small subunit ribosomal RNA". The stretch from base 395 to 527 matches the Rfam family "Bacterial large subunit ribosomal RNA", at positions 2473 to 2605 of the family's 2925-position model. Lineage: Eukaryota; Metazoa; Arthropoda; Insecta; Diptera; Tephritidae. The record is from RNAcentral.